Molecule: non-coding RNA, 223 nt
Organism: Pelobates cultripes (western spadefoot toad)
Lineage: Eukaryota; Metazoa; Chordata; Amphibia; Anura; Pelobatidae
Source: the annotation of a GenBank genome assembly
GUUAGUAUUUGUUUAGAAUGCAUUAUCUCUAUAAAUAAUAAAAUAAAGCAUGGAUGGGGUUUUACUCCAGAAGUCCCUCUUUAACUUUAAUCUUAAAGCUGCAAGAGAGUAAAUCAGAUCAUUUCUGUGAAAUCACUAAUUAGAACCACUGGCAGACAAUUAGAGCUUGGACCCCCUGCAAGGUUCAGAAGACCAAUGAGAAUGGACAUUGUGUAAAUGUGUG